AACGAACGCUGGCGGCAGGCUUAACACAUGCAAGUCGAGCGCCCAGCAAUGGGAGCGGCGCACGGGUGAGUAACACGUGGGAACGUGCCCUUUGGUUCGGAAUAACGUAGGGAAACUUGCGCUAAUACCGGAUAAGCCCUUACGGGGAAAGAUUUAUCGCCAUUGGAGCGGCCCGCGUUGGAUUAGCUAGUUGGUGGGGUAAAAGCCUACCAAGGCAACGAUCCAUAGCUGGUCUGAGAGGACGACCAGCCACACUGGGACUGAGACACGGCCCAGACUCCUACGGGAGGCAGCAGUGGGGAAUCUUGGACAAUGGGGGAAACCCUGAUCCAGCCAUGCCGCGUGAGUGAUGAAGGCCUUAGGGUUGUAAAACUCUUUCGGCGGGGACGAUAAUGACGGUACCCGCAGAAGAAGCUCCGGCUAACUUCGUGCCAGCAGCCGCCGUAAU
Molecule: ribosomal RNA, 448 nt
Filed under: uncultured bacterium
Lineage: Bacteria
Description: bacterial SSU rRNA
Rfam family: Bacterial small subunit ribosomal RNA
Source: RNAcentral